AUGCCCUUCCUGGCAUCCGCCUCCUCCGGGGCAUCUCCAGUCACCGGCCACCACAGCAAGGUGCAUUUCUUGCUGGACGGAAUCGAGGAUGCAGCGGAGAGCGCUGCCGGAUCGCAGCAACCGCCGGUGUCUCUGGCGAAGAGUCUGGCUGCUCUCGCCGAGGACUCAACCGUUGCUGCUCAGAGGCAGCGGAAGCCCCUGUCACGGAUGGAGCGCAAGAGGCUGGCCGAGCUCCAGAUGAAAAAGAGGGUCAAGGCGCAGUAUUUGAACGGCAAGUUUUACGAUCUCAUGGGCGAGGUGGUGGCUAGUGCCAAUACGUUGGAGGAUGCUUACGACAUUGUCCGGCUGAAUUCUAAUGUCGAUCUGGCGUCUGCAAGGGACGAUGUUUGCUUUAGCGCAUUGGCAGAGCAGCUCAGAAGAGGAGAGUUUGAUAUCACUGUGAAUUCUUUCUCAGUAGUGGCAAAGAGGCAAGGAGGAGAGCGCAUUGUUCUUCCACGUCUCAACUUGAAAGUUAUCCAGGAAGCAGUUAGGGUGGUGCUUGAGGUUGUUUACAGACCUCAGUUCUCCAAGAUAUCACAUGGCUGUCGGAGUGGGCGAGGAUAUCACUCAGCUCUAAGGUUCAUAUCCACUGAAAUUGGGGUUCCAGAUUGGUGCUUUACUGUCCCCUUGUACAGGGUGAAGCAAGAGAUAUGGGAUGCUAUGAAUCUUAGGUUAGGAAAGAAGUGGUUGGCAUAUGGUUUGAGGAGGGUAAAGGAGUCUGAGAUCAAGUCCCUUCGUCUUAGUACUCCGUUGCUGGAUCACAUUGCAGAAUUUAGGAAAAAGGGCAUGAAGACAGACCAUUGGUUCAAAACUUUACUCAAGGUAUGGAUGCAGGACAUCAAUGCCAAAAAUGAAGCUAAUGAGGAGGUGCUCCUGUCAAAAUACAUUGCUGAACCAGCACUUCCGCAGGAACUCAGAGAUGCUUUUAACAACUUUCAGAAUUAUGGCUCGUCUUCCCUUAAGUGCGAGGCGUGGAAGGAGAAAUGCAAUAUUUUUGAAUCUGACUACUUCCAUUAUGCUUAAACUGUUGCUACAGAAGCACUGUUGUCCAGCUUAAAGAAUCAGGAAUCAAUGUAUACCUGCCCUGAUGAUCCUGCCAUUAAGAUUUAUGCGCCUCUUAGUUAUAUCAAGAAGUGCCUCAAUCGCUAUGGUGUAACUAAUCUUGAAGGGUCAUGGUCACGGCACUCUGAUUCCAAGAGGCUGGACGUCUGCUGUUCCAAGGUCAUGAUUUACAUGACCAUCCAAGUUCAAUCAAUAAGUAUGCUGCUGGCAAAGAAGGCAUCAAGGGGUCGCCGCCAUGAGGGUCCGUCAUUUGUUUUAGUCGCUCUCAGGGAUUAUCAGGGACACAUCAACCCCAUGCUCCAUUUCGCCACCGCUCUCGUCGAUGCCGGCGUCCAAGUCACUUUCCUCCACACCGAGCACAACCUCCGCCGCCUUGCCCAGGCACCUCUGCCGCCUUGCCUACGCUUGCUUUCUAUCCCCGACGGCCUCCCUGACGACCACCCUCGCAGCUUCUUGGAGCUCUUGGAGUCCAUGUGCACGACUAGCAGCGCUACGUACCGUUCUCUGCUCUUGUCUGCCGACGCCCCGGUGACAUGCGUUGUUGCCGAUGGCACCAUGCAGUUCACCAUUGACAUCGCUGAGGAGCUCGGCAUCCCGGCGCUCGCCUUCGCCAUGCACGGCGCCUGCAGCUACCUGGCGCUCCUGUCGAGGUUCGCCGCAAGCGCAAGCCUGUGGCAGGAGGAUGACGGGUGCAUGGCGUGGCUAGAUGGCCACGAGGACCGGUCCGUCGUGUACGUGAGCCUGGGGAGCCGCGCGGUGAUCACACACGAGCAGUUCACCGAGUUCCUCUCCGGCCUGGUAGCUACCGGGUACGCCUUCCUCUGGGCGCUCCGGCCGGACAUGGUCCAGAUGACCAGCUCCACGCUCCUCCGAGAAGCCAUCGGGGCAGUGGAGGGCGGCAAGGCACGCGUUGUCGAGUGGGCUCCUCAGCGGGACGUGCUGCAGCACCGGGCGGUGGGCUGCUUCCUGACACACGCCGGAUGGAACUCGAAUCUGGAGUGCGCCAUGGAAGGCGUGCCGAUGGUGUGCUGGCCCUUCUUCUCCGAGCAGCAGAUCAACAGCCGCUUCGUGGGCGCCGUGUGGAGGACGGGGCUGGACAUGAAGGACGUCUGCGACAGAGGCGUCGUUGAGAGGACGCAGUUGAGGCUGAAUGUCGCGGAGCUGGGGUCGUCGUCGUCGUCCGAGUUGGAGCGGCUCGUCCGCUUCAUCAGGGAGCUCAGCAUCAGAGCCAUCCCCUAUGCAACUGUUACUGAGAAGGUGACAACCGCCAACGUUGAGCUGCUACAAAGGCAGGCUCAGAGACAGAGCAGAAGGGUGGUCCAUGGACCACCCUGUCCACCCCCUAGAUACGCCACUGUUCUGAAUCCCAAUGGCGUGGAGGCCCGGCCUGCGCCUACCGGCGGUCAUGAGAAGAAGCCGUCCAGCGCCACCUUCUUUGUCUUCGGGGAUGACCUCGCCGACAAUGGGAACCUCCCUCCGACCGGCCCCGUCACCCAGAUGUCGCGGCAAUGGGCCUACCCCUACGGCUCCAACUACGUCGAUGCCGACGGGUUUCCGCGGCCGAAUACUCCGUCCGGCCGCUUCUCAAACUAUAAAAUCCAGUCGGAUUUCAUCGCAACCAUGUUGGGGUUGGAGGAAGCCCCUCAGGCGCAUGCCCUCACGGCCAAGAAAACAUGCGACCCGUCUGGCAUGACCUUUGCUACCGGUGGUGCAGGUGUGUUGCACAGUACAUCGCACGAGGUCCCCGCCCUCGCCAAACAGGUCGACACCUUCAGGAAGAUGGUCAAGGACGGGACCAUCACGGAGAAACAACUGAGUCACUCCGUAGCGCUCAUGGCUUUCUCUGGCAACGACUAUGCAGGCACCGGCGUCAGUGGCCUAAGUAGCCCCAACGAUAUUAAUGCUUAUAUUGGGAAGGUGACAAAAGAGAUUGCGGCUAAUGUGGAUCAAUUGUUGAAGCUCGGGGUGACAAAGGUUCUUGUCAAUAACUUGCACCCUAUCGGUUGCACGCCAUCACACACCCGAAUCAACAACUACACCACGUGUGAUAUUUUUGAAAACUUGGGUGCAUCAAUCCACAAUGAUAAUCUGAAACAAGUUAUGACAUCAAAGAAGAAUGUCUACAUCGUGGACGUGUACACCGCCUUUAUCAAUAUUGUGGAUCAUGGGGCAGGUAAAGGCUCAGAGCUGUCUAAACAAUUCAAGCGCAAACUAUCGCCGUGUUGCGAGAGUUUGGAUUCGGGUGGUUACUGCGGACAGCAAGGCGAGUCAUCCACAGAGCUUUUGUACACUGUGUGCGACAAUUCAAAUAGAUUUUUCUAUUGGGAUGACAUGCACCCGACCCAUGCAGGAUGGGAGGCUGUUAUGAAACAGUUGGAAAAACCCUUGAGGGAGUUUGUAAAUCAAGCCUAG
RNAcentral lists this ribosomal RNA (3513 nucleotides) under Triticum aestivum (bread wheat). RNAcentral describes it as "partial small subunit ribosomal RNA". The record is from RNAcentral. Lineage: Eukaryota; Viridiplantae; Streptophyta; Magnoliopsida; Poales; Poaceae.